Non-coding RNA from Drosophila melanogaster (fruit fly), 507 nucleotides. The record is from Ensembl. Lineage: Eukaryota; Metazoa; Arthropoda; Insecta; Diptera; Drosophilidae.
GUGGUUAAUACAGAAUAUAACAAAAGCUGAGCACUAAACAAGCAGUAAGUGCAGUAAAAUUCUGAAUGAAUUGGGUUCAAUCAAUUUGAAACGCCCACAUUGUUAUUGGCACAAAUAGCCACAUUUAUCGACUGGUAAUCCAUCUGUUUAACGGGCUCCUUGGAACACGCUCAUCAUUUGUUAAUCAUACUUAAUGCCCCAAAACCAAACCGCACCUGCUGCCACACCACUCUGCGGCCCCACCACAUCGAAAUGCUGAGCGAUGCUUAGCCGGAAUAAAUCUACCAUAAAGAUGCUUGACAUUAUUCAAAAUACCAAAACUACAGAAUUCCCGAAAUGCCUUGGCCAAAGGAGGAGGAGCUGCAUCGAAAGCUGGAGCCGGAACAGUUGGACAGGGCGAUACUACGACGACAAUGGGCAAAAAAGGCAAUAAAAUUUAAUGCCAGACGAGGGAGCCGCGAGUGGAUCGAGUGGAGCGUGGAGGCACAAACGACUUCAUUUUAUCUU